CAGAACGAACGCUGGCGGCAGGCUUAACACAUGCAAGUCGAACGCACCGCAAGGUGAGUGGCAGACGGGUGAGUAACGCGUGGGAACCUUCCCUUUGGUACGGGAUAACUUCGGGAAACCGAAGCUAAUACCGUAUAAGUCCUUCGGGAGAAAAGAUUUUAUCGCCAAAGGAUGGGCCCGCGUUGGAUUAGCUAGUUGGUAGGGUAAUGGCCUACCAAGGCGACGAUCCAUAGCUGGUCUGAGAGGAUGAUCAGCCACACUGGGACUGAGACACGGCCCAGACUCCUACGGGAGGCAGCAGUGGGGAAUAUUGGACAAUGGGGGAAACCCUGAUCCAGCCAUGCCGCGUGAGUGAAGAAGGCCUUAGGGUUGUAAAGCUCUUUUGGCGGGGACGAUAAUGACGGUACCCGCAGAAUAAGCCCCGGCUAACUUCGUGCCAGCCGCGGC
Molecule: ribosomal RNA, 447 nt
Filed under: uncultured bacterium
Lineage: Bacteria
Description: bacterial SSU rRNA
Rfam family: Bacterial small subunit ribosomal RNA
Source: RNAcentral